CUUCUUAUCAUGGUGCAUCGGGGCUCUUAACCCAAUGUCUUACCCUUUUAGUGGCAUGAGAUUUAAAUCUAUCAUCACACCCUCGGCCAAUAACAUAUUAGGCCAAAGUAUAAUAAACUCAAACUUGAGCCUAUAACAAUAUCACCACUUUGUGAUUAUCAAUACUCUUUUCAAACUUAAUUUAAAAAAAAACAUGGGUUAAUAAUAUACUUAUCUUAUUAUAAAUAGUAGAAAAGUGAAAUCCAAGUCGUGAUGAUUGCAUAGUUCUUGCGGUUUUGUCUUCUCCACCUUCCGAACCAAUUUUCUUUUCUUAGUCAUCAAAUUUUGAGACGGUAGAGUCUCGUGCUAAUAACAUGUUAUAAAAUAAAGAUAAAUUAUCAAUAUCAAACUUAAAGAGAUGAGAGAACUAGAGAAUUUUAGUAGUGCAUUUG
Molecule: long non-coding RNA, 431 nt
Filed under: Capsicum annuum
Lineage: Eukaryota; Viridiplantae; Streptophyta; Magnoliopsida; Solanales; Solanaceae
Description: long non-coding RNA (CANN_LNC019298)
Source: RNAcentral